CCUAGGGAAACUUAAGCUAAUACCGCAUAAUGCAGCGGCUCGACAUCGAGACAGUUGUUAAAGGAGUAAUCCGCCUUUUGAGCAGCCUGCGGCAGAUUAGCUAGUUGGUAAGGUAAUGGCUUACCAAGGCUACGAUCUGUAACCGACCUGAGAGGGUGGUCGGUCACACUGACACUGAAUAACGGGUCAGACUCCUACGGGAGGCAGCAGUCGGGAAUUUUGGGCAAUGGGCGAAAGCCUGACCCAGCAACGCCGCGUGAAGGAUGAAGUAUUUCGGUAUGUAAACUUCGUAAGAAUAGGAAGAAUAAAUGACGGUACUAUUUGUAAGGUCCGGCUAACUACGUGCCAGCAGCCGCGGUAAUACGUAGGGACCAAGCGUUGUUCGGAUUUACUGGGCGUAAAGGGCGCGUAGGCGGCGUGGUAAGUCAGCUGUGAAAUCUCCGAGCUUAACUCGGAACGGUCAGCUGAUACUGCUGUGCUAGAGUACAGAAGGGGCAAUCGGAAUUCUUGGUGUAGCGGUGAAAUGCGUAGAUAUCAAGAGGAACACCUGAGGUGAAGACGGGUUGCUGGGCUGAUACUGACGCUGAGGCGCGAAAGCUAGGGUAGCAAACGGGAUUAGAUACCCCGGUAGUCCUAGCCCUAAACGAUGUAUGCUUGGUGUCUGGAGUAUUAAUUCUCCGGGUGCCGUCGCUAACGCUUUUAGCAUACCGCCUGGGGAGUACGCACGCAAGUGUGAAACUCAAAGGAAUUGACGGGGACCCGCACAAGCGGUGGAGCAUGUGGUUUAAUUCGACGCAACGCGAAGAACCUUACCUGGGUUUGACAUGCUGGGAAAAGCCGCAGAGAUGCGGUGUCCUUCGGGGCCCAGCACAGGUGGUGCAUGGCUGUCGUCAGCUCGUGUCGUGAGAUGUUGGGUUAAGUCCCGCAACGAGCGCAACCCUUGUCCUAUGUUGCCAGCGGGUAAAGCCGGGGACUCGUAGGAGACUGCCGGGGUCAACUCGGAGGAAGGUGGGGACGACGUCAAGUCAUCAUGCCCCUUAUAUCCAGGGCUGCAAACAUGCUACAAUGGCCGGUACAAAGGGCUGCUAUCCCGCGAGGGUGCGCGAAUCCCAAAAAGCCGGUCUCAGUUCGGAUCGGAGUCUGCAACUCGACUCCGUGAAGCCGGAGUUGCUAGUAAUCCCGGAUCAGCAUCGCCAGGGUGAAUACGUUCCCGGGCCUUGUACACACCGCCCGUCACACCACGAAAGUCGGCAACACCCGAAGCCGGUGGCCUAACCCGCAAGGGAAGGAGCCGUCGAAGGUGGGGUCGGUGAUUGGGGUGAAGUCGUAACAAGGUA
RNAcentral lists this ribosomal RNA (1337 nucleotides) under metagenome. Its description in RNAcentral is "bacterial SSU rRNA". It matches the Rfam family "Bacterial small subunit ribosomal RNA", at positions 147 to 1498 of the family's 1533-position model. The record is from RNAcentral.